RNAcentral lists this ribosomal RNA (1385 nucleotides) under Pediococcus pentosaceus. RNAcentral describes it as "bacterial SSU rRNA". It matches the Rfam family "Bacterial small subunit ribosomal RNA", at positions 63 to 1425 of the family's 1533-position model. The record is from RNAcentral. Lineage: Bacteria; Bacillati; Bacillota; Bacilli; Lactobacillales; Lactobacillaceae.
AUUAUGACGUACUUGUACUGAUUGAGAUUUUAACACGAAGUGAGUGGCGAACGGGUGAGUAACACGUGGGUAACCUGCCCAGAAGUAGGGGAUAACACCUGGAAACAGAUGCUAAUACCGUAUAACAGAGAAAACCGCAUGGUUUUCUUUUAAAAGAUGGCUCUGCUAUCACUUCUGGAUGGACCCGCGGCGUAUUAGCUAGUUGGUGAGGUAAAGGCUCACCAAGGCAGUGAUACGUAGCCGACCUGAGAGGGUAAUCGGCCACAUUGGGACUGAGACACGGCCCAGACUCCUACGGGAGGCAGCAGUAGGGAAUCUUCCACAAUGGACGCAAGUCUGAUGGAGCAACGCCGCGUGAGUGAAGAAGGGUUUCGGCUCGUAAAGCUCUGUUGUUAAAGAAGAACGUGGGUAAGAGUAACUGUUUACCCAGUGACGGUAUUUAACCAGAAAGCCACGGCUAACUACGUGCCAGCAGCCGCGGUAAUACGUAGGUGGCAAGCGUUAUCCGGAUUUAUUGGGCGUAAAGCGAGCGCAGGCGGUCUUUUAAGUCUAAUGUGAAAGCCUUCGGCUCAACCGAAGAAGUGCAUUGGAAACUGGGAGACUUGAGUGCAGAAGAGGACAGUGGAACUCCAUGUGUAGCGGUGAAAUGCGUAGAUAUAUGGAAGAACACCAGUGGCGAAGGCGGCUGUCUGGUCUGCAACUGACGCUGAGGCUCGAAAGCAUGGGUAGCGAACAGGAUUAGAUACCCUGGUAGUCCAUGCCGUAAACGAUGAUUACUAAGUGUUGGAGGGUUUCCGCCCUUCAGUGCUGCAGCUAACGCAUUAAGUAAUCCGCCUGGGGAGUACGACCGCAAGGUUGAAACUCAAAAGAAUUGACGGGGGCCCGCACAAGCGGUGGAGCAUGUGGUUUAAUUCGAAGCUACGCGAAGAACCUUACCAGGUCUUGACAUCUUCUGACAGUCUAAGAGAUUAGAGGUUCCCUUCGGGGACAGAAUGACAGGUGGUGCAUGGUUGUCGUCAGCUCGUGUCGUGAGAUGUUGGGUUAAGUCCCGCAACGAGCGCAACCCUUAUUACUAGUUGCCAGCAUUAAGUUGGGCACUCUAGUGAGACUGCCGGUGACAAACCGGAGGAAGGUGGGGACGACGUCAAAUCAUCAUGCCCCUUAUGACCUGGGCUACACACGUGCUACAAUGGAUGGUACAACGAGUCGCGAGACCGCGAGGUUAAGCUAAUCUCUUAAAACCAUUCUCAGUUCGGACUGUAGGCUGCAACUCGCCUACACGAAGUCGGAAUCGCUAGUAAUCGCGGAUCAGCAUGCCGCGGUGAAUACGUUCCCGGGCCUUGUACACACCGCCCGUCACACCAUGAGAGUUUGUAACACCCAAA